GAGUUUGAUCCUGGCUCAGGACGAACGCUGGCGGCGUGCUUAACACAUGCAAGUCGAACGAAAAGACGGAAAGAGCUUGCUCUUUUCAGAAUUGAGUGGCAAACGGGUGAGUAACACGUAAACAACCUGCCUUCAGGAUGGGGACAACAGACGGAAACGACUGCUAAUACCGAAUAAGUUCCAAGAGCCGCAUGGCCCAUGGAAGAAAAGGUGGCCUCUACCUGUAAGCUAUCGCCUGAAGAGGGGUUUGCGUCUGAUUAGCUAGUUGGAGGGGUAACGGCCCACCGAGGCGACGAUCAGUAGCCGGUCUGAGAGGAUGAACGGCCACACUGGAACUGAGACACGGUCCAGACUCCUACGGGAGGCAGCAGUGGGGAAUCUUCCGCAAUGGGCGAAAGCCUGACGGAGCAACGCCGCGUGAGUGAUGACGGCCUUCGGGUUGUAAACUCCUGUCGUUAGGGACGAUAAUGACGGUACCUAACAAGAAAGCACCGGCUAACUACGUGCCAGCCGCCGCGGUAAUUC
RNAcentral lists this ribosomal RNA (525 nucleotides) under uncultured bacterium. RNAcentral's name for it is "bacterial SSU rRNA". It matches the Rfam family "Bacterial small subunit ribosomal RNA", at positions 9 to 526 of the family's 1533-position model. The record is from RNAcentral.